RNAcentral lists this ribosomal RNA (253 nucleotides) under uncultured Leptolinea sp. Its description in RNAcentral is "partial 16S ribosomal RNA". It matches the Rfam family "Bacterial small subunit ribosomal RNA", at positions 524 to 776 of the family's 1533-position model. The record is from RNAcentral. Lineage: Bacteria; Bacillati; Chloroflexota; Anaerolineae; Anaerolineales; Anaerolineaceae.
AACGUAGGAGGCAAGCGUUAUCCGAAUUUACUGGGCGUAAAGCGUGUGCAGGCGGUUCGGUAAGUUGGAUGUGAAAUCUCCUGGCUCAACUGGGAGAGGUCGUUCAAGACUGUCGGACUAGAGGGCGGUAGAGGGAGGUGGAAUUCCCGGUGUAGUGGUGAAAUGCGUAGAUAUCGGGAGGAACACCUGUGGCGAAAGCGGCCUCCUGGACCGUACCUGACGCUCAGACACGAAAGCUAGGGGAGCGAACGGG